Molecule: ribosomal RNA, 475 nt
Filed under: uncultured Bacteroidales bacterium
Lineage: Bacteria; Pseudomonadati; Bacteroidota; Bacteroidia; Bacteroidales
Description: bacterial SSU rRNA
Rfam family: Bacterial small subunit ribosomal RNA
Source: RNAcentral
GUACCGGGAGAUAACCCGCGGAAACGUGGACUAACAUCCCAUAAGACUCUAGAGCCGCAUGACUUUGGAUUUAAAAUUCCGGUGGUACGGGACGGGCACGCGCGACAUUAGGUAGUUGGCCGGGGUAACGGCCCACCAAGCCGACGAUGUCUAGGGGUUCUGAGAGGAAGGUCCCCCACACUGGAACUGAGACACGGUCCAGACUCCUACGGGAGGCAGCAGUGAGGAAUAUUGGUCAAUGGGCGCGAGCCUGAACCAGCCAAGUCGCGUGAGGGAAGAAUGGUCCAUGGCCUGUAAACCUCUUUUGUCAAGGAAGAAUAAAUUGCACGUGUGCGAUCUUGCCAGUACUUGACGAAUAAGCAUCGGCUAACUCCGUGCCAGCAGCCGCGGUAAUACGGGGGAUGCGAGCGUUAUCCGGAUUUAUUGGGUUUAAAGGGCGCGUAGGCGGGACGCCAAGUCAGCGGUAAAAGACUGC